Stegostoma tigrinum is the source of this 4290-nucleotide long non-coding RNA. RefSeq lists it as uncharacterized. NCBI's taxonomy places the organism in Eukaryota, Metazoa, Chordata, Chondrichthyes, Orectolobiformes, Stegostomatidae. The record is from RefSeq and is a predicted model, not a curated record. The transcript is spliced from 4 exons.
UCUGCUUAUGGAUUUCACAUGGAAGUCUCUGUGGUUGGAGUUCUGAAUGUCAUGGAUUCAAGCAACUCUGAUGUCAGAGGCAAUCUGCAGUUCAAGGAGUCAGUAGCUAGGAAGAGAAGGUGAGAGGAAGAGAGAAGCCUGUGAACAUGUCAAAAUGCAACAAGUGAAUUACUGGUCCUUCAAGUAUAAUAAAGCAAGGGAGGAAGCUGAUGGGUGCAGUGUUGCCGUCUGUUGAAGUGGUGAGAAACAGGAGUGAUUUGUCCUGGAGAAAUCCAUCCCCUCAAUGAUUAUGCUCUGGUUGAGAAAGUCCAAAAGUAACCUUUUUGACCUACCAUCAAUUAAGGUCCCAAAGUGGCUAAUUAAUGAACACCUUUGACAGGUACUGCCAGACCUGUUGAAAUUUGCCAGCAAUUUCUAUUUUUAUGACAAGACAUCUCUCUGGUAGCCACUGAUGUACUUUUGAAGUAUAGACACCAUUGCUUUGUAGCCGAUUUGCAUGCAUAAAUAUCAAUGUGAUCAUGAGUAGAUAAUUCCUCUUUGUGACAUUGAUUAACAGAUCAAUUCUGGUCAGAAUACCGGAGAUAAAUCCCCUUCUUUCUUUGAAACAAUACAAUGGGAUCAAUGUAUCCACCUGAAGGCAGACUGGGGUCUCAGAAUUUAAGGGCUGUGGCUAUUGACACCACAUUCAUAUGCAUGCAUCAAUGCACUCAUGUUAGGCUUUGCUUAAAUUUGUGAAUCACAUUAAAAUCAUUUGGUUUUGAACCCGGUGCAGCAUAGAGGGUGAAGUUAACCACCCCUCCCACCAGGCCUCCUUCCCACACCCCUGCCCUGGGUUGCUUUCCAGGUCCCCCCCACCCCACAAGCCUCUUACCCACUCCCUUGGUGUGGGCAAACCCUUGGGCUGCGUUGUUCAGAGGGACAUUGGUCCCUAACCUUUCUCUCUGCUUGAACUUUCCCACUGAUACUCAUGGCCAUUGACUGAAAACUGGUAAAUCACCAAGACGUGAGAUUCUACAGCCCAGAAUAUUAAAGACGGUGGCAAUGGAAAGAGUGGAUGCAUUGGUUGUCAUGUUCCAAAAUUCUUUCGAUUCUGAAACAGUCCAGCAGACUAGAGGGUCACAAAUAUAAUCUCACUGUUCAAAAAAGGAGAAGGGGAGAAAAGUGGAAAUUACAGCCGAUUACCCUAACAUCAAUUGUCGGGGAAGUGCUGGAGUCUACUGUAAAGAGUGUGGUAAUAGGACACUUAGAAAAUACAAAAUUUAAGAAAAAUGAAAGAACUGUAGAUGCUGGAAAUCAGAAACAAAAACAGAAAUUUGACCUGAAACAUUAAUGAUUUCUCUCCACAGAUGCUGCCUGAUCGGCUGAGUUUUUCCAGCAAUUUAUGUUUUUGACUUAGAAAAUACAAAUGUAUUAAACAAAGUCAACAUUGAUUAAAGAAAGGGCAAUCAUGUUAGAAAAACCAACUGGUGUUUUUCGAGGACAUAACUAGUAGGAUAGAUGAGCAACAACCAUUGAUUGUGCUGUAUUUGGAUGUUCAGAAGGCUUUUGAUAAAAUCCAACAUAAGAGGUCACUGUGAAAAACCAAAAAACCUGAGACUAGUGGUAAUAUGGACUGAGAAUUAGUUAGGAGACCAGAAAAUGAAAGUAGAAAUAAAUGGGUCAUUUUUGGAAUGGAGGGUGGUGACCACUGAUGUACCAUUGGGAUCAAUGCUUAGGCCUCAGCUUUUCUCAAUAUAUGUCAAUGAUCUGGAUGAGAGAAUCAAAUGUAAUAUUUCCAAGUUCGCUGAUGAUGCAAAAUUAGAUGGGAUUGAGAGUAGUGAUGAUGUUGUGAGGGGCUUAAGGGUAGUUUAGACAAGGUGAGUGAGUGGCCGAAAUAGUGUGAUGUCAAUAAUGGUGAAGUUGCCCACUUUAGUUGGAAAAACAGAUUGACACAGCAUUACUUAAAUUGUAAUAGUUUGAGAAAUAGUGAUUUACAAAGGGAUCUGGAAUCCAGUACACUGAAAGCAAGCAUGGUACGUGCAGCAAGUAUGUUUGUCUUAAUAGCAAGAGGAUUUGAGUAAGGAGCAAGAACAUCAUACUGCAGCUAUAUAGGGCAUUCGUGAGACCACACCUGCAAUGUUGUGUGAUGUGGGUAAAUUGUCUUCACCUAAGAUAGACUUGCCAUGAGGAGGUGCAGCAAAGCAUCACCAGAUGAUUCAUGGGAUGCCAGAUUUGUUCUUUGAAGAGUGUUUGGACCAAUCAGGCCUAUAUUCCCUGGAGAUUAGAAGAAUGAGACCUCAUUGAGAUGGCUGGGCUAGACAGGUUGGAUGCAAAGGUGGUGUUUUCCCUGCCAGGGUUCCAAAACAAGGGGUCAUGGUCUCAGGCUACAUGGAAGGCCAUUCCAGUCGGAGUUGAGGAGAAAUUUAUUCACUCAGAGGGUGCUGAUGUGUGGAAUUCUCUUUUGGGCCAAGUCAGUGAAUAUUAAAAAGAGAAACAUUUCCAUAAGCUACAGGAGUCAAGGGGGAUGGAGAGAGCACAGAAGUGUGGCAUUGAGAGAGAGAGAGGCUCAGACAUAUUGAAUGAGCUUGAUGGGAAAAAUGACCUACUUCUGUGCUUUUCCCCAAUAUUUUCUAGAUGUGUCUUCCUGGAGAAUACAUUUCAACAGUCAGAUGGAGUUUCAUUGUAACAAUAAAGCACAAUCCUUGAAACAACAUGAUUGAAAAUACAUGCCUUGUAUUUCUGGCCUUGCCUUGGCAGAGACACAAAAGUAGUGGUGCCCAAGUAUUGUGCCCCUUGUGGCCAGCUCACUCACAUUGAAUAUUCAGAUUGGGUAUGAACCAGAAGGGCAGACUAUUGCUUGGGCCCAAAUAUCAUGAUGUACUGUUCAACAUUGUUACCAUUGUCUGUUAGUCUUCAAUAGAAAAUAAUGGGCAGUUUGAAGAAAAUAAACAUGAGUCAAAACAAACUGAACUCACUGUCAGCCAUUUUUAGGCAGGAGACUGCUCAGAGCCAUUCAGACCAUGUAAAAAGAUGGAUAAACAAUGAGUCAGAAUGGACGGAAAGCCAGAAAGAAUUUCACUGAGACACAGAACAGUUAGAGAAAUGGAUUAACUGUAGGAUGUUAAUUUUAUUAAGUUAUUCAAAUAAAUUACCAGAACAGAUUAAUAUCUCUUUUAUAACAUCUGAAGCACAAAGCAGAGAAUGAACCAUCAUCCUACGUAGCAUCUUCCAUCAACACUUUUGCAACUGGAGAAUUCUACAGAAUUGGGCAUAUCACAGAUGUUAAACUCAUUCUUCCAUUAAUAGAAACUUGAGAACUUUCUUCAGAGACAGUAUCAAUUAUAAAUAUAAGCUCUUUCUGGAUGUGUAAUGAAACAUGACAGGUGUGAUACACAGUGAGAAUCCCAACAUCUGUAAUAAGGAAAACCUAGAGAAAAUGAAUACCAUGACCAACUUCACUGGGAGUUUCUCUAAUGCAAAACUUUCAGCCACGAAAAUUCUCUGAACAGGUGAGAUGAGAUGUCAGGCUAGAUUUUGCUUUGACCUGACAGACUCGGUCAGGCCAGAGCCAGCUAAGAUGGGAACUAUGUUUAAAGAUACCUGCACCUGCCAGGGGCAGACAUGGUCACCUCAUCAGCCCUUCCUUUUAUUUCUGCUUCAUUCCAGGCUGGCACUGGCCUCAUCUAUAAUAUGGGCCAAAGUACAACCCAUGCAUAUACAGACCAUGUAACAGUGAUUGAAACAUAAUCACAUUUUUUUUUCCUGAAAAUAUGUCCACAAGAAGAUCCUCAAAGUGGACUAUAAUGGUAUCUUUAAAAAUGCAUUCAAUAAAAUAGCACACAUUAGGCAUGUAAGCAAAACUGACAUCCAUGGCAUAAAAGAUGUAUUAAAUAGCCAAUUGUGCAUCCAAACUGCUAAGGAAUAGAAAAAGUUGUGAAUGCCAGGCUUUGGUCUGGAGAAGAGUAUACAAUGGAGGUCUCUGAAAACAUCACAGUUUUGAUUUUAUUCAUGACUUAAAUUCAACAGAAUGGGGCACAAUUUUGAAAACUGCAGAUGACAAGAAACUUGAAAGGAGAGGCUAUACAUGUCUAACAGCUUCAGGAUUCUGGAGCACCCUUAUGAUGAUAUCACAGAGCUGCACAUCACUGAGCAUAAAAGAGCAGAAUGGGUAAAGCUAUACCAAACUACAUGACACUAGCCAUGAUUCCACACUCUAAAAUCAGAGAGUUUUGAGAGCACACUGAAUAAAUGAAGAAAGCAAAUUAGUCUUUGCCUAAUGUAACUAUAAGAACAGAGCCUAGUCUAUGAUCA